UACGUAGGGUGCGAGCGUUGUCCGGAAUUAUUGGGCGUAAAGAGCUCGUAGGCGGUUUGUCGCGUCGGCCGUGAAAACUUGGGGCUUAACCCCGAGCCUGCGGUCGAUACGGGCAGACUUGAGUUCGGCAGGGGAGACUGGAAUUCCUGGUGUAGCGGUGAAAUGCGCAGAUAUCAGGAGGAACACCAGCGGCGAAGGCGGCGCUCUGGGCCGGUACUGACACUGAGGAGCGAAAGCGUGGGUAGCAAACAGG
RNAcentral lists this ribosomal RNA (253 nucleotides) under uncultured bacterium. RNAcentral describes it as "partial 16S ribosomal RNA". It matches the Rfam family "Bacterial small subunit ribosomal RNA", at positions 524 to 776 of the family's 1533-position model. The record is from RNAcentral.